This 252-nucleotide ribosomal RNA is filed under the name uncultured bacterium. RNAcentral describes it as "partial small subunit ribosomal RNA". It matches the Rfam family "Bacterial small subunit ribosomal RNA", at positions 26 to 287 of the family's 1533-position model. RNAcentral also lists the same sequence under 1 other name. The record is from RNAcentral.
AGGACGAACGCUGGCGGCGUGCUUAACACAUGCAAGUCAAGGGGGCCCAGCAAUGGGCAACCGGCGAACGGGUGCGUAACACGUGAGCAACCUACCGAACUGUGGGGGAUAGCCGGCCUAACGGCCGAGUAAUACCGCAUACGCUCUCAGAGAGGCAUUUCUUUGAGAGGAAACCUACGGGACAGAUCGAGGGGCUCGCGGCCUAUCAGCUAGUUGGCGAGGUAACGGCUCACCAAGGCAACGACGGGUAGC